This 305-nucleotide ribosomal RNA is filed under the name uncultured bacterium. RNAcentral describes it as "partial 16S ribosomal RNA". It matches the Rfam family "Bacterial small subunit ribosomal RNA", at positions 508 to 807 of the family's 1533-position model. The record is from RNAcentral.
ACAGCAGCCGCCACGGGAAUACGUAGGUGGCAAGCGUUGUCCGGAAUUAUUGGGCGUAAAGGGCUCGCAGGCGGUUUCUUAAGUCUGAUGUGAAAGCCCCCGGCUCAACCGGGGAGGGUCAUUGGAAACUGGGAAACUUGAGUGCAGAAGAGGAGAGUGGAAUUCCACGUGUAGCGGUGAAAUGCGUAGAGAUGUGGAGGAACACCAGUGGCGAAGGCGACUCUCUGGUCUGUAACUGACGCUGAGGAGCGAAAGCGUGGGGAGCGAACAGGAUUAGAUACCCCUGUAGUCCCUGUCUCUUAUAC